RNAcentral lists this ribosomal RNA (128 nucleotides) under uncultured eukaryote. Its description in RNAcentral is "partial small subunit ribosomal RNA". It matches the Rfam family "Eukaryotic small subunit ribosomal RNA", at positions 1651 to 1779 of the family's 1831-position model. The record is from RNAcentral.
CCCUGCCAUUUGUACACACCGCCCGUCGCUCCUACCGAUUGAAUGGUCCGGCGAAAUCUUCGGAUUGCUGACCAAAGCACUUAUCUGUUUUGGUUGCGAGAAGUUGAUUAAACCUUAUCAUUUAGAGG